CGGUUAUAUGCUUAUGCUAGAAGGCUAAGCCAUGCAGGUUAGUUCAAAGGCACGUAUAGGUAAACGCGAUACGCUUCAUUACAAAAGCUAUUAAUACUUGAUUUGGGAAAUAUCUAUGUCGUGGAUAGUCUGUGGUAAUUCUAAGAGCUAAUACAUGCAGUCACCAGGUCCGAUUUUCUGAUACGAGCGCAUCUAUUCAGACUUAACCAAUCGGGUUCGCCGUUAAUUGGGUGAACUUCUGAAUACUAAUAGUGCUGAUACGCAGUGGUCUCAACCGGCGACGUGUAUAUCAACGUGUCCUGCCUUAUCAACUGUCGAUGUGUAGUUAUUUGCCUAUCCAUGGGUUGUAACGGGUAACGGAAGAAUAAGGGUUCGCUCGGAGAGGGAGCUGAGAAUAGGCUUACCACAUCCAAGGGGAAGCAGCAGGCGCGCAAAUUACUCACUCUCGGAUGAGGAUGGUAGUAGACGAAAUAACGAGACGUUCUCUAUGAGCCGUUAUCGGACAUGGGUACAUUAACCCGUUUAGAGGGAACUAUGAGAGGCAUGUCUGGUGGCCAGCAGCCGGUAAUUCCAGCUCUCAACAGUGUAUAUCGUAUUGUGCGUUAAAAAAGCUCGUAGUUUGGAUCUGCCGCCUCAGGAUUGGUCCCCCACUGGGCGAGCAACUGGGCUCCUGGGCUAGUUCUGCUGGUUUAUCCCUACGUUGCAUUCAUCGGUCGCGUAGGGUGGCUAGCGAGUUUACUUGAAAAAUUAAGAGUGUUAACGCGGGCUUUGUUCGAAUAACUCGUGCAUGGAUAAUUAUGGAUAGGUAUCUCGGUUCUAUUCUGGUGUUUUGUUUUCUGAUUCGAGAUAAUGGUUAGAGUUGAGGGAGGACGGGGGCAAUUCGUAUCGCAUUGCGUGAAGAAGGUUGAGAUUCUUGGAUCGUAGUUCGAGAACUCCGACUGUCGAAAGAUUUGCCAAGAUGUCUUCAUUAAUCAGAACGAAAGUAGGAGGUUCAAAGGCGUAGUAUACUGCCCUAGUUUUUGAACGGUAACGAUACGACUACGGUUCCGUUCGGCGGUAAUAUGCUUGACGGGUACUUGCCGGAAACGAAAGGAAGCUCUUUCGGUUCCGUGGGGAAUGUAUGUUUGUCAACAGCUUGAACUUAAAAGAAUUGACGAAGGGCACCACACAGGAGUGGAGCCUGGGCUUAAUUUGACUCACCGGCGAAACUCACUGGCCGGACGUAAGGUUGACAGAUUGAGAGCUCUUUUUCUUGAUUCGGUGGUUGGUGGUUGGCAUGGCCGUUCUUAUGUUGGAGUGGAGUGAUUUUGUCUGGUUUAUUCCGAUAGAACUGAGCUGAGAUUCUAGCCCUAUUUAAAUUCAGUCAUGACGGUAAACAAGUCCGGAAGGACUUCUUAGAGGGGACAACGCGUAUAACCGCAUGGAAGUUGAGCAAACUAAAGGUCUGUGAUGCCCUUAAAUGUACCCGGGCUGACGCGCCGCUACAUGAGAAUCAGCGUGCUGUAACUCAGUCUUUGCUCGAAAGGUAUUGGUAUACCCUUGAAAAUCCUCCGUGAUCGGGAUCGGGAAUUGCAAUUUUCGCCUUGAAAGUCCGAGUGAUCCUAGUAAGUUGAUGAGUCAUCAGCUCACGUUUGAAUUACGUCCCUGCCCUUUAGGUACACAACCGCCCCGUGCGCGCCCGGGCACUGAGCCGUUUCGAGAAAGGCGGGGGACUGCUUUUCGAGACUUUCGAGGUGGAGAUUCUUUUGGUGGAAAACCGCACUAAUCGCAGUGGCUUUGGAACGGGCAAAAGUCGUAACAACGGUUUUCCGUCAGGGUGAAGAUC
This 1825-nucleotide ribosomal RNA is filed under the name Parascaris univalens. RNAcentral describes it as "SSU rRNA". It matches the Rfam family "Eukaryotic small subunit ribosomal RNA". The record is from RNAcentral. Lineage: Eukaryota; Metazoa; Nematoda; Chromadorea; Rhabditida; Ascarididae.